Molecule: ribosomal RNA, 482 nt
Filed under: Klebsiella pneumoniae
Lineage: Bacteria; Pseudomonadati; Pseudomonadota; Gammaproteobacteria; Enterobacterales; Enterobacteriaceae
Description: partial 23S ribosomal RNA
Rfam family: Bacterial large subunit ribosomal RNA
Source: RNAcentral
AGGUACUCCGGGGAUAACAGGCUGAUACCGCCCAAGAGUUCAUAUCGACGGCGGUGUUUGGCACCUCGAUGUCGGCUCAUCACAUCCUGGGGCUGAAGUAGGUCCCAAGGGUAUGGCUGUUCGCCAUUUAAAGUGGUACGCGAGCUGGGUUUAGAACGUCGUGAGACAGUUCGGUCCCUAUCUGCCGUGGGCGCUGGAGAAUUGAGGGGGGCUGCUCCUAGUACGAGAGGACCGGAGUGGACGCAUCACUGGUGUUCGGGUUGUCAUGCCAAUGGCACUGCCCGGUAGCUAAAUGCGGAAGAGAUAAGUGCUGAAAGCAUCUAAGCACGAAACUUGCCCCGAGAUGAGUUCUCCCUGAGACUUUAAGUCUCCUGAAGGAACGUUGAAGACGACGACGUUGAUAGGCCGGGUGUGUAAGCGCAGCGAUGCGUUGAGCUAACCGGUACUAAUGAACCGUGAGGCUUAACCUUACAACGCCGAAG